UGUUUCAGAAUGGGGUGGUCUGGUAAAACAGAUCUGAGAUCAAACCCAAGCACCUGAUCUGGGUAAUGCCAGCGUAGGGAAAACGAAACAACUAACA
This 97-nucleotide non-coding RNA is filed under the name Chitinophaga ginsengisegetis. RNAcentral describes it as "TPP sequence". It matches the Rfam family "TPP riboswitch aptamer (THI element)". Rfam says of the family: Vitamin B(1) in its active form thiamin pyrophosphate (TPP) is an essential coenzyme that is synthesised by coupling of pyrimidine and thiazole moieties in bacteria. Lineage: Bacteria; Pseudomonadati; Bacteroidota; Chitinophagia; Chitinophagales; Chitinophagaceae. The record is from Rfam by way of RNAcentral.